RNAcentral lists this ribosomal RNA (1548 nucleotides) under metagenome. RNAcentral's name for it is "bacterial LSU rRNA". It matches the Rfam family "Bacterial large subunit ribosomal RNA", at positions 1383 to 2925 of the family's 2925-position model. The record is from RNAcentral.
UUCGGCCCCUAAGGCGAGGCAGAAAUGCGUAGUCGAUGGGAAACAGGUCAAUAUUCCUGUACCGAUUCUAGAUGCGAUGUGGGGACGGAGAAGGUUAGGUCAGCCAUCUGUUGGAAUAGGUGGUUCAAGCGUGUAGGCGUGCCCCUUAGGCAAAUCCGGGGGGCUAAGCUGAGGCGUGAUAACGAGGUGCUACGGCACUGAAGUGACUGAUACCAAGCUUCCAGGAAAAGCCACUAAGCUUCAGUCUAGAAUUGACCGUACCGCAAACCGACACAGGUGGGCAGGAUGAAAAUUCUAAGGCGCUUGAGAGAACUCAGGAGAAGGAACUCGGCGAAUUAACACCGUAACUUCGGGAGAAGGUGUGCCCCGGUAGGUUGUAGAGCCUCGCGCUCGAAGGCCGAUGGGGUUGCGGUGAAAUGGUGGCUGCGACUGUUUAAUAAAAACACAGCUCUCUGCAAACACGAAAGUGGACGUAUAGGGAGUGACGCCUGCCCGGUGCCGGAAGGUUAAUUGAUGGGGUGCAAGCUCUUGAUCGAAGCCCCGGUAAACGGCGGCCGUAACGAUAACGGUCCUAAGGUAGCGAAAUUCCUUGUCGGGUAAGUUCCGACCUGCACGAAUGGCGUAACGAUGGCCACACUGUCUCCUCCUGAGACUCAGCGAAGUUGAAAUGUUUGUGAAGAUGCAAUCUCCCCGCGGCAAGACGGAAAGACCCCAUGAACCUUUACUGUAGCUUUGCAUUGGACUUUGAACCGGUCUGUGUAGGAUAGGUGGGAGACUAUGAAACCGGGACGCUAGUCUCGGUGGAGUCAACCUUGAAAUACCACCCUGGUUUGUUUGAGGUUCUAACCUUGAUCCGUGAAUCCGGAUCGGGGACCGUGCAUGGUGGGCAGUUUGACUGGGGCGGUCUCCUCCCAAAAGGUAACGGAGGAGUACGAAGGUACGCUUAGGGCGGUCGGACAUCGCCCAUAAAGUGCAAUGGCAAAAGCGUGCUUGACUGCGAGACCCACAAGUCGAGCAGGUGCGAAAGCAGGUCAUAGUGAUCCGGUGGUUCUGUAUGGAAGGGCCAUCGCUCAACGGAUAAAAGGUACUCUGGGGAUAACAGGCUUAUACCGCCCAAGAGUUCAUAUCGACGGCGGUGUUUGGCACCUCGAUGUCGGCUCAUCUCAUCCUGGGGCUGUAGCCGGUCCCAAGGGUAUGGCUGUUCGCCAUUUAAAGAGGUACGUGAGCUGGGUUUAAAACGUCGUGAGACAGUUUGGUCCCUAUCUGCCGUGGGCGCUGGAAAUUUGAAGGGGGCUGCUCCUAGCACGAGAGGACCGGAGUGGACGAACCUCUGGUGUACCGGUUAUGACGCCAGUCGUAUCGCCGGGUAGCUAUGUUCGGAAGAGAUAAACGCUGAAAGCAUCUAAGCGUGAAACUCGCCUUAAGAUAAGAUUUCCCGGAGUCUUGAACUCCUUAAAGGGUCGUCGAAGACCACGACGUUGAUAGGUCAGGUGUGGAAGCGCAGUAAUGCGUUAAGCUAACUGAUACUAAUUGCCCGUACGGCUUGCU